GCUCAGCAGAACAUAUACAAAACUUGAAAUGAUGUAGAGAAGAUUAGCAUGGUCCCUGCUCUAAGAAGACAUGCAAAUUUGUUAAUAAUAUUGAUGGUGUUU
This is a small nuclear RNA of Tachyglossus aculeatus (Australian echidna), 102 nucleotides long. The record is from RefSeq and is a predicted model, not a curated record. Lineage: Eukaryota; Metazoa; Chordata; Mammalia; Monotremata; Tachyglossidae.